AAUUACAUAUAAAAUGUUAUAAACAGAAAUGUGUAAUGUAUAAGUCACAUAAUUGGGCCGUAGAUGUAAACAUUUUAAAAUAUACUAAAGACUAAGCCCAAUUAUAAUGUUAAAACUGAUUAGUCCGGGAAACAAAUUAACAAACAAACCUAACCAAUUUUUUUUCUUGACUUCACUUCCUUUCUGUCGGUGAAUCAAAAAAAAGACUGUUCAUCUUUUUUGUUCAUCUCUCUGCCAGCGUCAUGUCUUAGCCCAGUGAUCAAAUCCCUGGAGCGAUGUUUGUGAGGAAAAGGAAGAUUCAAUCAUUGAUUUUCUGUGUCUCAGCUAACCUUCUAAUGCGCGAGUGAUUCAAAGAUUGGAGACUAAUGGGUAGCUUUAAACUUGCGACCAGCAAUGAAAGCAGAGGAUGAUGAAUAAGUGAUGAUGAGUGAAAUCACGUGAUGAUGCAAGUGAAUCAGAAUUGAGGAUCUGUCAGAGAUCAAAGGAGGAAAGGAUGAAUAUUUUCAUUAGGCAAAUGAUACAAAGAGAUAAAGUUCUCAAAUGUUAUUAUGGUAUGUACGCAUAGGAGAGUUUUGGGAAAGAAAGAAUAAACUCCCGAUUAAAAAUCUAGACAACACCUUUGUAGACCAGACUCUGCAUUACAGAACACGAUAUAGGUCAUAAAAUAUACCAAUGGUGGCUGCACUCUCGAUUCAUUGAAGGUACAUUCACAACUCUUAUAGUAAUAUAGUUCUUCUUAUGAAUCUCUUAAGUUAAAAACGUUAUGCUCUUGGAACACUUCUUCACUUGUUGUUAAGUUGUUUGUUAGAAUAAGUGAAUAAUAAAUAAUAUUAGGUUGCUUGUGGAAAGACCAGAUCAAAAAAUUUUGCAACAAAAUAAGUGUAGCCAUAAUCUUCACGUGAUUGAAUAAGUAGAGAAGCAAACUUUAUUAAAUAAAUUGAUGAGGAAAUUUCAAAUGUAACAAAACACAUACGGAAAAAAAAACAAAACACCAAAGUCAUAAAACACCUAAAUAAAAAUCAAAGCAAAAUAACAUUUUAUUAGGUUAAGCACUCAUCACUAAUCAGUCCUUGGCUUUCUCCUUCUUUACGAUCUUAGUGCAUAACUUCUUAGAAGUAGAUGUCAUGUCCAUUUGAUCACACUCAUCUUCCUUACGUUUGUUACUUGGGGUGGAAAAAUCUUCAGAUGAGUUCUCAUUGAUAUGAUCAAUCCCAG
Long non-coding RNA from Brassica napus (rape), 1215 nucleotides. RefSeq lists it as uncharacterized. The transcript is spliced from 5 exons. Lineage: Eukaryota; Viridiplantae; Streptophyta; Magnoliopsida; Brassicales; Brassicaceae. The record is from RefSeq and is a predicted model, not a curated record.